GUCGAGAAUCUUCCGCAAUGCGCGAAAGCGUGACGGAGCGACACCGCGUGAUGGAUGAAGUCCUUCGGGGCGUAAACAUCUUUUAUAAAGGAGGAAAUUUUUGACGUUACUUUAUGAAUAAUGGGCUCCCAAUCUCGUGCCAGCAGGAGCGGUAAUACGAGAGCCUCAAGCGUUAUCCGGAAUCAUUGGGCGUAAAGGGUGCGUAGGUGGUUUGAUUAGUCUCCCGUUAAAACUUCGAGCGUAACUCGAAAAGAGCGGGGGAAACGGUCAAACUAGAGUAUGUGAGAGGUGUGUGGAACUCAUGGUGUAGGGGUGAAAUCCGUUGAUAUCAUGGGGAACACCAAAAGCGAAGGCAGCACACUGGCACAUCACUGACACUGAGGCACGAAACCUAAGGUAGCGAAUGGGAUUAGAAACCCGGGUAGUCC
RNAcentral lists this ribosomal RNA (428 nucleotides) under uncultured bacterium. Its description in RNAcentral is "partial 16S ribosomal RNA". It matches the Rfam family "Bacterial small subunit ribosomal RNA", at positions 354 to 796 of the family's 1533-position model. The record is from RNAcentral.